Molecule: small RNA, 124 nt
Filed under: Vibrio cholerae O1 biovar El Tor str. N16961
Lineage: Bacteria; Pseudomonadati; Pseudomonadota; Gammaproteobacteria; Vibrionales; Vibrionaceae
Source: RNAcentral
GUCAGUACUCCAACUUCUUGACCGAUCACAUCGAUCUUGAUUUGGAUGUGAAAACCAACCUACAAACUCUGUGCAAAGAGAUGGUGAAAUUGGCGAUGACCGAUUGUCACUGGCUCAAAGUCUG